CUCGUGUCACGUGACUUCGUUCAGCGUUCAGAAUGGAGAAAGGAAACCGCUGAUUUUCUAUUUUCAAUUGUAAACGGGAAAGGAGAAUGGAAAACGGAAACUGCUGUUUUUCAAUGUUCAAUUGUAAAAGGAGAAAAGGACACGGGACUAUCGAAAAACGGGCCAAUUUGGAUUUGUUUUAUGGUUUUUUGAUUAAAACGGUUUUCUUGUUUUUUGUUUGAAAAAGAGAGGAAGAAAAACGGUUAUUUAAUUUUGGUUUACAGAUGAAUUUGGGAUUAUCCAAUGAUACCCAGACCGUUACAGCAAGCUGAAGACCCAGGCCCCUGAGCUGAAGUGCAUCAAGGUAGAUGAGGCCCUCGAGCUGGUCGGGAUAGACUUGAUUGAUUAUUACACCAAGUUUGUGGACUUCUAAAGGACAAAACAGCAGCUGGUGUAGCUAACUGCAUCAGGACCUUUGUGUGCAGAUGGGGAGCUCCUAAUUGCCUUCUUUCAGACCAGGGUUGAGAAUUUGUGGCUGAGAUCAACACUGAGGUCUGUAGAUCUCUCAACAUUAGUAGAUCAGUCACCGGUGCCUUCCACCACCAGACAAACGGGUUGGAUGAGAGAACCAACCAGACCCUGAAGAUGUGGUUCAGCAAGCUGGUCAACGAGCAUCAGACAGACUGGGAUAGCUUCCUAGAGGAUGUGGCGUACUCCGUCCGCGCCAGGAAGCAGGUCACCACGAAGUAUUCCCCUUUCUUUCUAAUGUUUGGUCGCCACCCAAGGCCCACCCAUGAGAUGGGCUCAGGGGAUGAACCAGACGAGGGGUUGCCCACAGCUCCCGAGGUCAACCUUGAUGAGAUGGUGGCCCGACGACAGGAAGUCAAGGCUGUGGCAAAGAUGAACUCUGAGAAAGCUCAGGAGAAGCAAAAGGAGACAUACAAAUGACACAAGGCGAAAGGAGUGAAGACUUUCUCCUUUUCCAACGGAGACAUCAUCCUGCGUAGAGUUAUGAAAAAUGCUGUGCGUAAGGGUGGUAAAAUGGAGUCUCUUUGGACUGGCCCGUACAGGUAUAUAAAGGCUGGGUUAUUGCCCCCACUUGGUUAGCUGCUUCACAACUGGUGUUAUGCUACCAUUCCCUGCCUCAUCCAAGCCACGUAAAAACACUGCAAUUACUGUCACUGCCGUAUACCGUACAACAGCAAUCAAAUUAUGAUUGACGUCUGCAAAGGCUGGUUCCACCGUGACUCUCAGAAGGUCCCCUGAGUAGUAACCGAAUCGACAAAGUUCCUACGUUGGUUUUGUGAAGAGGAUAGUGGCUAAAAAAAACAUGUUUUUUAGAACGUAUUCUAUGCUGUUCUUUUAUUGUUACAUGCAUUGUGUUUGGAUUGCAAAAAAAUACAUGUUUUAUAAUAUAUUCUAUGCAGUUUUUAAAAAUUAUUAUUGCAUGUAUUGUGUUUGUACAAAAGAAAUAUGUUUUAUAAUGUAUUCUAUGCAGUUUUUUAAAAUUAUUACAUGUAUUGCGUUUGUAUUAAAAAAAAAAAUUAUAAUUUAUUCAAUGCAGUUUUUUUUUAAUUUUUACAUGUAUUCUGUUUGGAUAAAAUAAAGCACAUGUGGGGAAAAAACA
Gouania willdenowi (blunt-snouted clingfish) is the source of this 1606-nucleotide long non-coding RNA. Lineage: Eukaryota; Metazoa; Chordata; Actinopteri; Blenniiformes; Gobiesocidae. The record is from Ensembl.